Molecule: ribosomal RNA, 103 nt
Filed under: Hetaerina infecta
Lineage: Eukaryota; Metazoa; Arthropoda; Insecta; Odonata; Calopterygidae
Description: partial small subunit ribosomal RNA
Source: RNAcentral
GAUAAUUGGGCUCUAAGAUAUGCACACAUCGCCCGUCGCUCUCGUGAUAAGUGAGAUAAGUCGUAACAUAGUAGAUGUAUUGGAAAAUGUAUCUAGAAAGUCA